AGAUAAGAAAAUGCAAAAAAAAAAAUAUCUGUUAGAUUUGGAAUAUACCAAAGAUUUUAAUGAACAGCCAUUACCGAAGCGUAAAGUUAGGCAUCUAUCUGAUGAAGAGUCAGACGAUGAGGCGGUGCCACAUGAAGAAGACAAAAUAAAAAAGCAAAAAACUGUAGAAGAUAACAAUAUACAAGAAGAUAAUAAAGAAAAAAGUAAAAAAGUAGAACGUGACAAACGAUUCGAUAAAGAUAAGAUAAAAAAAAAAGAAGAUGGAAAGGAUUUUGUUAUACAGAACGAGUUAGAAAAAAAAAAAAAAAAAAAAACAGACGAUAGUAAAGACGACAACGAUGGUAAAGAGCUUGAUACAAAAAAAAUGAAAAAAGAGUUGGAAAAAAUAAAUAAGGAUAAUAGAAAAAUUAGCAAAGUCGACANNNNNNNNNNNNNNNNNNNNNNNNNNNNNNNNNNNNNNNNNNNNNNNNNNNNNNNNNNNNNNNNNNNNNNNNNNNNNNNNNNNNNNNNNNNNNNNNNNNNAAAAAAAGAAGAAGAAAAAAAAGAAGAAGAAAAAAAAGAAGAAGAAAAAAAAGAAGAAGAAAAAAAAGAAAAAAAAAAAAGAGAAGAAAAAGAUCAAACAUCAGAUGAUGAAUACAUUAAGUAUUUAAAAGAUAAUGUAAAAUAUGAAGAGACCCGAGGGAAUAGUGCCUCAGUAGUAGUAGCAGCAGCUGACGCGAGUGAUGAAAUUAUAACAGAUGUGUUUUCUGAUCAGAAGAGUAAAGAAGAGAUGAUAGUAACAAGUAUGACAGAAAAUGUCAGGACUGAUAAGGAGGAGCGAUACGACAUAAUUGAAACUAUGACUGAACAUGAUAAAGAUGCCGAUAACAAACUACAACAUGACCAACAUCAAAAUAAAAGCUAUUUAGAAAAAGAGAAAAAAAAAAAAAUGUUAGAAGAAUUAAACGAAGGUGAAAAAAAUAAACCAGAAGAGAUUAAAAAGAAUCACAGUGAUAGUAAAAAACUGAUAAGCCAUAAUAAUGACUGGAUGGUGGGAAAAGGUAAAAGUAAAGUAAGCGAUAUAAAUGAUAUUCAAAAAAAAACAGAAUUAAACGAAAAUGAUAACACUUUUGAAGUAAAAGAUGUGUCUUUCAAUAAAAAUACAAUUUUAGAAAAUGAAAAACAUAAUAAAAAUGAAGAUACUACAAUUAUUGUAAGUUCAAAAGUGUCUAUGCUAGAGAGGGUACCUUAUCAUGAACAAACAGAUGAAGACCAGUAUAUAUUCGACGAAGAAUAUGUUAAAAUAAUGCAAGAUAAAGAAAAAACAGAAAAAGAUUUUGUUUUUUACAUAAAUAAAGAUAUAUCAAACAAACUAAAAUUAUAUAAAGAUAAUUUAAACAAUUUUAUAAAAAAUAAGUCAAUAAAUGAAAAUGAUAAUGAUGAAGAAAAAAAAAAAAAAAACUUAUUAUACGAUGGGGAAUAUCCAAAUAAUUUGGAAUAUACAGAUGACGAUGAAAAUGAAGAAGAACCACAAUUUUAUGGCAUGAGAGAAGGGAUUUAUGACCAGGACGAGUUUUUAAUCAGUGAGCUUAAAAAUAAGGACAACGAACUUGAAGCAUCAACGACACUAGCUAAUAAUAUGCACAUAAUAAAUAAUUUAAAAAUAAAAAAAAAACAAAUAAAAGAACCGGGUCUACUUGACAUGCAGGGAACAAUGCAUGAAACGACUAAGCUAUUGAAUGAUCUUAUAAUUAAAAGUGAGAUUGCAAAGAUGGGAGAAAGUCGUUUUCAAGGGGGGCAACAGGACUUAUUGCAAAGUGACCAACAUAAGUUGCUACAAAUUGAACUACACAACGAUCAGGGUGGGUUGCUAUAUAACGAGCAGGAUGGCUUUCCACAAAAAGGGGAAAACGACUUUCUACAAAAGGAACGACAAGAGGAACGACAAGAGGAACGACAAGAGGAACGACAANNNNNNNNNNAGGAACGACAAGAGGAACGACAAGAGGAACGACAAGAGGAACGACAAAAGGAGCGACAAGAGGAACGACAAAAGGAACGACAAGAUGUUACGCAUGACGUAAAACCAAAGAUGUACGACCCAAGAUAUGUAAAAAAUUUGCAAUAUGAACAAAACGAAUUAAAAAAAAUUAUUUUUUCAGAUGUAACAGACUUAUUAGACAUACUAGAUACCCAAGGCGGUGCUAGCUCGGUGAGUAAGAACAAA
RNAcentral lists this long non-coding RNA (2206 nucleotides) under Piliocolobus tephrosceles (Ugandan red Colobus). RNAcentral's name for it is "lncRNA (ENSPTEG00000016108.1)". Lineage: Eukaryota; Metazoa; Chordata; Mammalia; Primates; Cercopithecidae. The record is from RNAcentral.